CCUACGGGUGGCACCAGUGGGGAAUAUUGCACAAUGGGCGCAAGCCUGAUGCAGCCAUGCCGCGUGUAUGAAGAAGGCCUUCGGGUUGUAAAGUACUUUCAGCGAGGAGGAAGGCAUUAAGGUUAAUAACCUUGGUGAUUGACGUUACUCGCAGGAGAAGCACCGGCUAACUCCGUGCCAGCAGCCGCGGUAAUACGGAGGGUGCAAGCGUUAAUCGGAAUUACUGGGCGUAAAGCGCACGCAGGCGGUCUGUUAAGUCAGACGUGAAGUCCCCGGGCUCAACCUGGGAACUGCAUUUGAAACUGGCAGGCUUGAGUCUUGUAGAGGGGGGUAGAAUUCCAGGUGUAGCGGUGAAAUGCGUAGAGAUCUGGAGGAAUACCGGUGGUGAAGGCGGCCCCCUGGACAAAGACUGACGCUCAGGUGCGAAAGCGUGGGGAGCAAACAGGAUUAGAUACCCGCGUAGUC
RNAcentral lists this ribosomal RNA (465 nucleotides) under uncultured bacterium. RNAcentral describes it as "bacterial SSU rRNA". It matches the Rfam family "Bacterial small subunit ribosomal RNA", at positions 338 to 795 of the family's 1533-position model. The record is from RNAcentral.